UAGGACCGAGGUCAGUAGAAGAUGGAGAAGAAGGAUGUCCCAUGCCAUAUUAUAUGCUACUACAACAUGUAGGCCGAAAAGAUGGCCCUGAAACCGGCAGCAGUAUUUCGACCUGACACUGGUGUCGUGCAGCGUGGGGUCUGUGGCGAAGGGGGCUACUGACUGUGAGCGGUGCAGUGGUUUGUUUACAAACAAGAGGGGUCAACGUGAUCAAGUACUGACAAAACCCACCGAGGUACAGCUCAACAUGCGCCUACUAGCAGCCUUACCUUUGGUUCACAUUCAGGAACUCUACGCCUAUUCAGGCAUUUAUUUUAUGAGAAUUGAAUAAAUAUAUUUGUCUGUGAUUUUUUCAUUUAUUUUGAUAUGAAAAAUUAUGAUAAAGGAGUAUGAAGAUAAAAAUACAUAUAAUAACUGUUUCAGCAGUUCAAAUUCAGUAUACCUAAUAUAAUCCGUAAAUAUUGCCCUUGGUAUUGCUUUGACGGUUUGCUUUGGUACAUGAAAAUAUUUGAAAGUGAAAU
This is a long non-coding RNA of Lingula anatina, 521 nucleotides long. RefSeq lists it as uncharacterized. Lineage: Eukaryota; Metazoa; Brachiopoda; Lingulata; Lingulida; Lingulidae. The record is from RefSeq and is a predicted model, not a curated record.